This 847-nucleotide long non-coding RNA is filed under the name Mus musculus (house mouse). Its description in RNAcentral is "predicted gene 29154". The record is from RNAcentral. Lineage: Eukaryota; Metazoa; Chordata; Mammalia; Rodentia; Muridae.
CUUCCGGUUCUAGUUCAGCGAAGUAUGAGUCACGUGAUCAUCCACCAGCUGAGAGGAUCUGUGGGUUAUAUGAGACAAUCCCCUUCCGCCCCAAACAGGAAAGGUUAGAAUCCUGAGAACUGUUUGGAAUAAGGAAUCCAAAUAUUGUCUUCCAGCUUCACCUUGUCACGACAGUCCUCGCCAGGGACAGCUGAGCAUCUACAUCUCCAUUUAUGCCGUGUGCACGCAGUACCAACAGAGGUCAGAGGAGGGUGUCGGAUCCCCUGGAACUGGAGUCACAGAUUCUUAGGGAGAAACAUAAGGACUAGCAUCUGACUCAUGUAUGGGCUCAGCAUCUACAUGGAGCACUUUGGAAGCAAAGAAGUCAUUUUUGAGCGAUUCCGCCUGGAUCUUUCUAAUCACAUCCCACCAUAAAUUCUGAGAACUACAUGGUAACAUCCAAACUGGUGAAGAUAGGCACACUUUUGUGGUAGGACAAAGAGAAAAUCAAGCCGGAACUGAUCCCCAAACUUCUCUGCUAGCAAGCUUUCCUAGUGCCAGAAGGUGAAUGCAGGAUGCUGGGGAGAAAAGUCGAUGGCCUUGCUGAGUGAUGACUGGAUGCUGCACACAUACUUCCAGGUACCACUUGUACCCAGUGGUAUAAUGGUGGCAUGAAGGUUACUGGGGUAACCAAACACUCUUUGAUCAGAUCUAUCGUCUCUCCCAAAGAGGGGAAUUCACGCCUGAUACCAUGAACCCGAUCAAAACCCCAUGACUGAGGAGAUCAUUGGCCCUAUGGGAGAAACCACUACUGUUGUUUUUCUUUUCCCUCUCUCUGUUUUGUAAUUUUUAAUGAUGGAAACAAAAA